AUCCAGCUGACGAGUCCCAAAUAGGACGAAGCGCGCAUCCUGCAU
Schistosoma mansoni is the source of this 45-nucleotide non-coding RNA. The record is from Rfam. Lineage: Eukaryota; Metazoa; Platyhelminthes; Trematoda; Strigeidida; Schistosomatidae.